RNAcentral lists this ribosomal RNA (301 nucleotides) under uncultured bacterium. RNAcentral's name for it is "partial 16S ribosomal RNA". It matches the Rfam family "Bacterial small subunit ribosomal RNA", at positions 509 to 807 of the family's 1533-position model. The record is from RNAcentral.
CAGUAGCCGCGGUAAUACGAAGGGUGCAAGUGUUACUCGGAAUUACUGGGCGUAAAGCGUGCGUAGGUGGUGGUUUAAGUCCGUUGUGAAAGCCCUGGGCUCAACCUGGGAAUUGCAGUGGAUACUGGGUCACUAGAGUGUGGUAGAGGAUAGUGGAAUUUCCGGUGUAGCAGUGAAAUGCGUAGAGAUCGGAAGGAACAUCUGUGGCGAAGGCGACUAUCUGGGCCAACACUGACACUGAGGCACGAAAGCGUGGGGAGCAAACAGGAUUAGAUACCCGAGUAGUCCCUGUCUCUUAUAC